GCUGGAAACAGCCACUCGUGGCGGCGUUGGUACACCGAAUAUCCCUGCACAAACCUCAACGGCACAACGGCAUUAUCAGACGACCGAAGUUCUUCCUGCUCCAAAGGUAACCUAUCGUCAGCUACCUGGCCCGGAGUGGAGCGAACCUGUGCCACUAAUCACCUGGGGGCGCGGUUACGCAGCUGUAUCAACACCAAGCGGCCCGCUCUGGGUACCUGCACGAUACGUUCGACCAUACAAGGAUGGCUGCCAGACCUAUCCUGGCUAAAGCAAAUGUUUGCAUAUGUUAUUGUUAUAGUUGCAGGAUUAAUACUUUGUUGCUGCAUAUUACAGUGUAUUCCUUCACUUAUUAGCCUAUUUGUCCAAGGCUGCCCUUGGCAACGACUUAAUACAAAACAGAGCAUUCAUUAUGCCUGCAAAUUGCUUAAAAACAAAAAGGGGGAGAUGUAGUGAAACAUGCUGUGCUGGCAAACCACACACAUGUUUAUUACAUUUACUCCUGGCUUAAGGUAAAGCAAUGCUCAGGUUAUUGAUUAA
This is a long non-coding RNA of Mauremys mutica (yellowpond turtle), 537 nucleotides long. RefSeq lists it as uncharacterized. The record is from RefSeq and is a predicted model, not a curated record. NCBI's taxonomy places the organism in Eukaryota, Metazoa, Chordata, Testudines, Geoemydidae. The transcript is spliced from 3 exons.